GCCUGGGUGGCUCAGUUGGUUGAGUGUUUGACUUUAGCUCAGGUCAUGAUCUAGGGUUCGUAGGUUUGAGCCCUGUGUCAGGCU
Molecule: transfer RNA, 84 nt
Filed under: Felis catus (domestic cat)
Lineage: Eukaryota; Metazoa; Chordata; Mammalia; Carnivora; Felidae
Rfam family: tRNA
About the family: Transfer RNA (tRNA) molecules are approximately 80 nucleotides in length.
Source: Rfam by way of RNAcentral